AAUACAAUGAGGAAUACUUAUUAAGCAAUUCCUUGAGUCUUUCCCAUGCCUCGUAUAAGGACACGCCAUCUAAUUAUUGGAAAGUAGUUAUCUCAUUUUGAAACU
This 105-nucleotide small nucleolar RNA is filed under the name Gossypium hirsutum (cotton). RNAcentral's name for it is "Plant small nucleolar RNA R71". It matches the Rfam family "Plant small nucleolar RNA R71". Rfam says of the family: R71 is a member of the C/D box family of snoRNAs containing the C (UGAUGA) and D (CUGA) box motifs. The record is from Rfam by way of RNAcentral. Lineage: Eukaryota; Viridiplantae; Streptophyta; Magnoliopsida; Malvales; Malvaceae.